This 164-nucleotide ribosomal RNA is filed under the name Allium ampeloprasum (leek). Its description in RNAcentral is "5.8S ribosomal RNA". It matches the Rfam family "5.8S ribosomal RNA". From Rfam's summary of the family: 5.8S ribosomal RNA (5.8S rRNA) is a component of the large subunit of the eukaryotic ribosome. It is transcribed by RNA polymerase I as part of the 45S precursor that also contains 18S and 28S rRNA. Lineage: Eukaryota; Viridiplantae; Streptophyta; Magnoliopsida; Asparagales; Amaryllidaceae. The record is from RNAcentral.
UGAAUGACUCCUGGCAAUGGAUAUCUUGGCUCUCGUGUCGAUGAAGAACGUAGCGAAAUGUGACACUUGGUGUGAAUUGCAGAAUCCCGUGAAUCAUCGAGUCUUUGAAUGCAAGUUGCGCACGAGGCCAUUAGGUCGAGUGCACGUCUGUUUGGGCGUUAUGU